CCUACGGGUGGCUGCAGUGGGGAAUAUUGGACAAUGGGGGGAACCCUGAUCCAGCGAUGCCGCGUGUGUGAAGAAGGCCCUCGGGUUGUAAAGCACUUUCAGUGAGGAAGAACGCCUGGUGGUUAAUACCCAUCAGGAAAGACAUCACUCACAGAAGAAGCACCGGCUAACUCCGUGCCAGCAGCCGCGGUAAUACGGAGGGUGCGAGCGUUAAUCGGAAUUACUGGGCGUAAAGCGCGCGUAGGUGGCUUGAUAAGCCGGUUGUGAAAGCCCCGGGCUCAACCGGGGAACGGCAUCCGGAACUGUCAAGCUAGAGUGCAGGAGAGGAAGGUAGAAUUCCCGGUGUAGCGGUGAAAUGCGUAGAGAUCGGGAGGAAUACCAGUGGCGAAGGCGGCCUUCUGGACUGACACUGACACUGAGGUGCGAAAGCGUGGGUAGCAAACAGGAUUAGAUACCCGAGUAGUC
Molecule: ribosomal RNA, 465 nt
Filed under: Vreelandella stevensii
Lineage: Bacteria; Pseudomonadati; Pseudomonadota; Gammaproteobacteria; Oceanospirillales; Halomonadaceae
Description: partial 16S ribosomal RNA
Rfam family: Bacterial small subunit ribosomal RNA
Source: RNAcentral